GACGAACGCUGGCGGCGUGCUUAACACAUGCAAGUCGAACGGAAAGGCCUGCUUUCCCUUGUGGAUUGCGGGUACUCGAGUGGCGAACGGGUGAGUAACACGUGAGUGAUCUGCCCCCAACUUGGGUAUAAGCCUGGGAAACUGGGUCUAAUUCCCGAUAGGACUGCAGGGUGGUGCCUGUGGUGGAAAACGAUUUUCUAGUGGUUGGGGAUGAGCUCGCGGCCUAUCAGCUUGUUGGUGGGGUAAUGGCCUACCAAGGCGGCGACGGGUAGCCGGCCUGAGAGGGUGGACGGCCACAUUGGGACUGAGAUACGGCCCAGACGCCUACGGGAGGCAGCAGUGGGGACUAUUGCACAAUGGGCGGAAGCCUGAUGCAGCGACGCCGCGUGGGGGAUGACGGCCUUCGGGUUGUAAACUCCUUUCGACCGCGAGGAAGCCACCUGGUUGGAAGGGUGGUGACGGUAGUGGUAGAAGAAGCACCGGCUAACUACGUG
RNAcentral lists this ribosomal RNA (494 nucleotides) under uncultured bacterium. Its description in RNAcentral is "partial 16S ribosomal RNA". It matches the Rfam family "Bacterial small subunit ribosomal RNA", at positions 28 to 507 of the family's 1533-position model. The record is from RNAcentral.